UACGUAGGGUGCAAGCGUUGUCCGGAAUUAUUGGGCGUAAAGAGCUCGUAGGCGGUCUGUCGCGUCUGCCGUGAAAACCCGAGGCUUAACCUCGGGCUGGCGGUGGAUACGGGCAGACUAGAGGUAGGUAGGGGAGAAUGGAAUUCCCGGUGUAGCGGUGAAAUGCGCAGAUAUCGGGAGGAACACCGGUGGCGAAGGCGGUUCUCUGGGCCUUACCUGACGCUGAGGAGCGAAAGCGUGGGGAGCGAACAGG
This 253-nucleotide ribosomal RNA is filed under the name uncultured bacterium. Its description in RNAcentral is "partial 16S ribosomal RNA". It matches the Rfam family "Bacterial small subunit ribosomal RNA", at positions 524 to 776 of the family's 1533-position model. The record is from RNAcentral.